CAUUAGAUGGCUGAAAGUAAGUAAUGGUCUCUUAAACCAAUUUAUAGUAGUUUAACGCCUACUUUUAAUGA
RNAcentral lists this transfer RNA (71 nucleotides) under Ptomascopus plagiatus. RNAcentral's name for it is "tRNA-Lys". The record is from RNAcentral. Lineage: Eukaryota; Metazoa; Arthropoda; Insecta; Coleoptera; Silphidae.